Long non-coding RNA from Antechinus flavipes (yellow-footed antechinus), 291 nucleotides. RefSeq lists it as uncharacterized. The transcript is spliced from 4 exons. The record is from RefSeq and is a predicted model, not a curated record. NCBI's taxonomy places the organism in Eukaryota, Metazoa, Chordata, Mammalia, Dasyuromorphia, Dasyuridae.
GCAGGUCCGUUGACACAUUGGAAGUCAAGGAAUAUACAUGGAAUUUCUUGGGACAAGUAUCGUUAUCCAUACAAAGGUACAACCUACUGUGAACCAUCAGAACAAAACAAACAGUCAAAAACAACAUAUGCUUGCCCAACCCCAGGUCCUCUGACACAUUGGAAGUCAAGGAGUAUACAUGGAAUUUCUUGGGACAAGGAUCAUUAUCCAUACAAAACUACAUCAUACCGUGAGCCAGCAGGAGAGCUGUACAGACAAUCAAAAACGACAUAUACUUCCCCAACCCCAGGU